GUGUCGUGAGGCAUGCUGGAGGUAUCAGAAGUGCGAAUGCUGACAUAAGUAACGAUAAAGCGGGUGAAAAGCCCGCUCGCCGGAAGACCAAGGGUUCCUGUCCAACGUUAAUCGGGGCAGGGUGAGUCGACCCCUAAGGCGAGGCCGAAAGGCGUAGUCGAUGGGAAACGGGUUAAUAUUCCCGUACUUGGUGUUACUGCGAAGGGGGGACGGAGAAGGCUAUGUUGGCCGGGCGACGGUUGUCCCGGUUUAAGCGUGUAGGUGUGUGUUCCAGGUAAAUCCGGUUCACUUUAACACUGAGGCGUGACGACGAGGCACUACGGUGCUGAAGCAACAAAUGCCCUGCUUCCAGGAAAAGCCUCUAAGCAUCAGGUAACAUCAAAUCGUACCCCAAACCGACACAGGUGGUCAGGUAGAGAAUACCAAGGCGCUUGAGAGAACUCGGGUGAAGGAACUAGGCAAAAUGGUGCCGUAACUUCGGGAGAAGGCACGCUGACACGUAGGUGAAGUGAUUUACUCAUGGAGCUGAAGUCAGUCGAAGAUACCAGCUGGCUGCAACUGUUUAUUAAAAACACAGCACUGUGCAAACACGAAAGUGGACGUAUACGGUGUGACGCCUGCCCGGUGCCGGAAGGUUAAUUGAUGGGGUCAGCGCAAGCGAAGCUCCUGAUCGAAGCCCCGGUAAACGGCGGCCGUAACUAUAACGGUCCUAAGGUAGCGAAAUUCCUUGUCGGGUAAGUUCCGACCUGCACGAAUGGCGUAAUGAUGGCCAGGCUGUCUCCACCCGAGACUCAGUGAAAUUGAACUCGCUGUGAAGAUGCAGUGUACCCGCGGCAAGACGGAAAGACCCCGUGAACCUUUACUAUAGCUUGACACUGAACAUUGAGCCUUGAUGUGUAGGAUAGGUGGGAGGCUUUGAAGUGUGGACGCCAGUCUGCAUGGAGCCGACCUUGAAAUACCACCCUUUAAUGUUUGAUGUUCUAACGUGGACCCGUUACCCGGGUUGCGGACAGUGUCUGGUGGGUAGUUUGACUGGGGCGGUCUCCUCCUAAAGAGUAACGGAGGAGCACGAAGGUUGGCUAAUCCUGGUCGGACAUCAGGAGGUUAGUGCAAUGGCAUAAGCCAGCUUGACUGCGAGCGUGACGGCGCGAGCAGGUGCGAAAGCAGGUCAUAGUGAUCCGGUGGUUCUGAAUGGAAGGGCCAUCGCUCAACGGAUAAAAGGUACUCCGGGGAUAACAGGCUGAUACCGCCCAAGAGUUCAUAUCGACGGCGGUGUUUGGCACCUCGAUGUCGGCUCAUCACAUCCUGGGGCUGAAGUAGGUCCCAAGGGUAUGGCUGUUCGCCAUUUAAAGUGGUACGCGAGCUGGGUUUAGAACGUCGUGAGACAGUUCGGUCCCUAUCUGCCGUGGGCGCUGGAGAACUGAGGGGGGCUGCUCCUAGUACGAGAGGACCGGAGUGGACGCAUCACUGGUGUUCGGGUUGUCAUGCCAAUGGCACUGCCCGGUAGCUAAAUGCGGAAGAGAUAAGUGCUGAAAGCAUCUAAGCACGAAACUUGCCCCGA
RNAcentral lists this ribosomal RNA (1561 nucleotides) under Salmonella enterica. RNAcentral's name for it is "partial 23S ribosomal RNA". It matches the Rfam family "Bacterial large subunit ribosomal RNA", at positions 1258 to 2802 of the family's 2925-position model. The record is from RNAcentral. Lineage: Bacteria; Pseudomonadati; Pseudomonadota; Gammaproteobacteria; Enterobacterales; Enterobacteriaceae. RNAcentral also lists the same sequence under 1 other name.